This 263-nucleotide ribosomal RNA is filed under the name uncultured bacterium. Its description in RNAcentral is "partial 16S ribosomal RNA". It matches the Rfam family "Bacterial small subunit ribosomal RNA", at positions 95 to 354 of the family's 1533-position model. The record is from RNAcentral.
CCGGCGCACGGGUGAGUAACGCGUAUGCGACUUGCCCGUUGCAGGGGGAUAAUCGGGAGAAAUCCCGUCUAAUACCGCGUAACGCCGCGGGGCUGCAUGGCCCUGCGGCCAAAGGGAGCGAUUCCGGCAACGGAUGGGCAUGCGUGACAUUAGCUAGUUGGCGGGGCAACGGCCCACCAAGGCGACGAUGUCUAGGGGUUCUGAGAGGAAGGUCCCCCACACUGGUACUGAGACACGGACCAGACUCCUACGGAAGGCAGCAG